AAUACUAGUGAACGGUUUGAUCAGGUAAAUUUGAUUCUGGUCUAGGCAAAUUCUGUUACCUUUAGCUUUGUCCUCCUUUUCUUUUGUAAAAGAAAAAUAUUUUUCUUUGGGCAAGUUAAUAGUAUGAUAGAAAGAGAUCUAAGAGGUGCUUUGGAAAUAAUUUUAGAGAGAAUGAACAAAAUCUGCAGUGGAAAUAUCAGUAGUUACCUUUAGUGUUGUCUUGGCCAGGAUAAUUGUAUUUGCAGUGCUCAGGUUGACCAAUCAAAUACCAUGUUUAAUUUCAUUGAAGAUCCUAUAACUCUUUACUUAUUUGCGGAUGUUAUGAUGAAUUAUCUGUCAAGAUUUAGAGCAGUGAUAACUAAUGCUAGCAUUAUUGAAGGAAUAAUUUGCAUAAGAAUUUCAUAGGUUAUUAUAACACUUGACUUGAUAAUUUUGUGGGUUCUUUUGUGUUCAGUUUUGCCAUAAUAACAUGUUUUUGACCUGUGACACUAAACUGCCUCAGAAAUAUUCCUGUAUGAUGAUGAUGAUAUUGACAAUGUUGAAUUCAAGUUUCUGGCCAAGGUCUUGUUUUUGCUUUGUGGUGAAAUCA
RNAcentral lists this unclassified non-coding RNA (589 nucleotides) under Hevea brasiliensis (rubber tree). Lineage: Eukaryota; Viridiplantae; Streptophyta; Magnoliopsida; Malpighiales; Euphorbiaceae. The record is from RNAcentral.